GAGAUAUGAUGAGCAAUCAAUUGGUCCGUGUUUCUGAAUUAAUCGUGACCGACAAAUCUAAACCAAACUCUGAUCUC
Small nucleolar RNA from Cornus florida, 77 nucleotides. RefSeq annotates it as small nucleolar RNA SNORD18. The record is from RefSeq and is a predicted model, not a curated record. The transcript has a single exon. Lineage: Eukaryota; Viridiplantae; Streptophyta; Magnoliopsida; Cornales; Cornaceae.